CCACUCCCACUCCCACUCCCACAUCUCCUCUCGUUCUUCAAUAAUUUCUUCACCGCUUGCAACCAUUGCACCGUCUUUGACACACGGUCUCCUCCAUCACCACCAUCCUCCUCCUCUAGACAAAUUGCAUAAGUAGACGGCCUUUCCGUUGCUCUCGUCCACCAUAACCUCCAUCACACUUCUCCAAGCAAUCAUAGAAGUAGACGUCCCUUUCCACGGUUUUCCUCGACCACCAUCUCCAUCACACUCCCCAAACAACCAAAGAAGCAGAAGGCCAUCUCCAUCGCUCUUUUCUUCCACACCACCACCACCAGAUCCAUAACAACACCUUUCUUUGCCACUCUUUUCCACCAUCAAUUCUAUCAUACACCUCCAACUCUUUGCAAUGAGAUUGUUGGAGAAUAGACAGUUGUAGCGCCUUCACCACCAAAGACGUCUUCUUUCUUCUCUUCCAUCACCAUAAAUCUAGCAUUGUACUCAUGUUAGGUUGUUGUUGUGGACCAUCACGUACGCGCCAUUGUGGACCACAGUAGAUGCGUUAUCCUCUUUUUUGCAGCCCAAGUUGGGUGGCCAUUCAAUUGUUGUUCAUGCCGAGGGUGGAUUUAGGGAUACCGAAUUGGCCCAAGCCCAUAUAAAAUUUUCAAGGUAAUUUUCUAAAUAAAAAAAUUGUGUAAUUUUUUUUAUAUAUUAGCCUGUUUAAAAAAUUAGUUCGAUUCUAGAUAUUUCCCUAGUAGGAACUCAACUUUCUGGUGGCCACUAAGCUGUCGUAAUCAACGGUAGAAGUGGAAGCAAGAG
Molecule: long non-coding RNA, 795 nt
Filed under: Olea europaea (common olive)
Lineage: Eukaryota; Viridiplantae; Streptophyta; Magnoliopsida; Lamiales; Oleaceae
Description: long non-coding RNA (OEUR_LNC007127)
Source: RNAcentral